RNAcentral lists this long non-coding RNA (912 nucleotides) under Bemisia tabaci. Its description in RNAcentral is "lncRNA ENSSWEETPG001138". The record is from RNAcentral. Lineage: Eukaryota; Metazoa; Arthropoda; Insecta; Hemiptera; Aleyrodidae.
CCAUGUUGGCAACUCUGCGGAAAAGCAUUUGUACCUGAGAAAUUAACGCUACAGAGUCAGCAGUCAUUGUACUUAGUUUUUCAAGCUACUCGGCCUACAGACAACCAGACUGGUGGAAUCUCUUCAGAUAUCAAUCUCUCUAACUCGGAUGAGCCCACCUCUCUCCAUUCUCCUUUUUUGAUUUCUUGCGCAGAUCAAUAUCACACUCUAGUCAAACUUCCUCUCAAGAAAAUAAAAAAGAUCUUAACUUUGGGACAACACUAGAUGCUGUACUUAUUGUAAGAUGGAAGGGUCGUCUGGUGGAGACAGGUGGGAAAAAUAGGAUCUCAAUGGGGCAACAUCACCUGCGGAUGAAACAAUUCGACGUAAUGGUGACGUGCCCUCCAAUCAUAAUCCAGCCAAAAACCAAGGAGCCAUUGACAUUACUUAAGAUUUUUGGACCAGAUCGAAAUUGCGACCAUGUCCUAGCUGCAGCAAAUCAACAACAUGAGCUCGAUGCAUCCGCCAUCCAACACAUUGGUCAUGUUCACGAUCAGUCACCAGCAACUUGUUAAUCACAAUUUUAGUGAAAAUAGGCUGUGUAUGGUUCCUGUCAAGAUUUCAUUGCGUAAUUGCUCAGACUCUCAGGUGGAUGUGAAAGUCAUGGCAGUUCUCCCUCCCUCAAGACAAAAUCCUGUGGCAUCAACAGAAGGCUCCUCCUCAUUUUUAUGGCUAGGACGCACUAUUAGAAUUAUUAGUUUGAAGUCGUAUGCCCUCUAUUCCGUGCAGCUUCUUGCUGCGAUUUCAUAUCCAGGCUCAUACAAUCUCGGAUCUCGUCUGGUAGUCUCCGCCAAGAAUGAAUUCAUGCCAAACCUUGUACCCCAAUGCUGGAAAUUUGACACUGUUGUAAUGGUAAACAAUGCAUCCUCCUAG